AGGUGGCGCUGGCGCCAAUCGGCCGCUGGGGCCCUGUCCUCGACCCCCACCCCCACACACACCUCCCCUUCACUGGCGCCAGGGGGACGGAGGACACAGGAACCCUUUCGCGCCCCCAGUGCCGUCUGCGCUGCUGCCCCAGACGCAGAUACGGCGCCCGGAGGCCUCACAGGGGUUGGGGCUGGGAGCGGCGACCUGGGGCCACGUAGCCCCUAGCCCCCAGCGCCAUCUCCUCGGUCCCUAGGCUCUGUCGCGCCUAAAGCCCCGAGUCCCCGCAGCCUGUGAAGACCCGCGGAGGACCGCGCGGUUUGGAGAGAGGGCGCCAAAGGCGACGCGCCGGCGGCCAGCCCCAGGCCAAACCCAGUGCGUCUGCAGGAACCUCUGCAGGAACCGGCCCCUUCACCCCUGCGUGGGACCCGGAGCUGCGCGAAGAUCUUUCUCGUUCAGCGCAGACUCAACACCAAGACGCCGCCUAGAGGUCAGCCGCGGCCACAGCCUCACCCGCCAGCGACCACAGAGCUGGAGCCCCAAGCCGUGGCCAGAAAUGGGGGCGCGGGUGGGGUGGAGUCGGGUGGGGAAUCCAGCCCAGGUCUCAGGGACGUGGCUGCCUGCACCUCUGACUUCUCUGAGACACCCCUCCCCGCUCCGCCCUUGCCAACGAGCCCUGAGAGGGACCAGGAAGGCCUAGAAAUAUUUAUUCUUAUGUCUCUUCCUAAAUGAAAAGGAGUGAUAAUUUCCGUUUCUCCCAGGACCCCGUGUUCAUACUGCCUUCUCCCGCUAUCCAAAUUGUCCAGCCCCCUCCAGUUAUGCUAAAACUCUGCUCAUCUUCGCCAAGGAAAGGCAGUAGGGGAAAGUGGCCCCUGAAUCUGACAUCAUAGUUAUCCACGUUUUCAACUCUCUGCGUAAUGUGGAGACCGAUAUGCUUUUGGAAAGUCUUCAGAAAACUUUCAAGGGUGAAAAGAAACAUCGCCUGAGUGGUCUUUACUCACCGAGUGGCCAUCAGCUGGACUAGUGUGAAGGGGCCAGGGGGCACCCUCACCACCUGCAGCAGAGUGAGACCGCCUGCAUCAGAGUCAGCCUUUCAGAAGAUUCAGGAACUGUAGCCCACAGCCUAGUAUUUCCCCUGCCUAUUCCACUUUUACCCAUUUAAAAAGAAAUCCCCAGCCGCGCUUUGGCACCAUUUCUGGGAAGGAGGGGGCAUGGAGGGCCGCACCUGUGUGUCUGUGGAAGGAAGGUGCCCUCAGGGCACCAAACUGCCCCCACCCCAGUCUGCAGCUGGGCCCCAGUGUUAUACCCACGCGGGGCAGGGCCUGAGCUCCUCUUGGCCUCCAGCGCCUCUAAGACCUGGCCCUUUGGUGUUUUGUUGGUGAAUGACUGAGUGAGGUGUGACCCCCCAAUUCCUUUGCUCCCCCACCCAGAGCGCAUCUAACCAGGCCCCUCCAGCAGACAAAGUGAGCAGAAAAUCAGUAACUUCGCUCCCAGUCAGCUGGAGCCCAAGGCGCAGGCGGGUUUUUCCUAGUUUUGGUUCACGAAGGCCUAAUGGCGAUUCCAAAUGCGGAGUCCACCAAGUUGUAUAAGAACCCAGCGGUCCAGAGCGGGAAGGAACUGGUACGGAGAGGGCCGUAAAGGUCCAGGUAGUGGCUGUUUCCGUUUGAUCUUGAGGCUUUUUAGGAGCCGGAGAGGAGACGGCGGCAGAGCUCGGCAGAGGCUGAUUGGGACCCUCCUCAGCGCCCGCCGUCACUUGCACUUCCCCGAAGACAGCCCCUCGGUUUCUCCUCUGGAAGCCCCUGCCGGCUCCGGCCUUCUGACCCCCUCUCCGCGUCUCUCCAGUACCUGGCAGUAAACGGGCGGGGCCGGGCAAAGGUCUGGCUGCUGGAGAGGGAAAGAGAAAAAGAAAACAACAAAACCCGCUUUCAGCGGACAGAGGCAGAGCAUGGAGGUCCAGGACGUGGCUGGCAGAGCCGGGGUUUUAGCCUUAGAAAUGCCGGGCGCCUAACUGCUUUGGCGAAGACGGGGAGUGUCGUCUGCGCCGGACGCGAGGGGAUGUAAACCGUUUGAAGUUCAUCAACACGGUGAAGUUUUAUUGUAUUUCCGGUCCCCAAGAUUUAUACCCGGGAGGGGGAGCGGGCGGCCAGGCGGACUUCUCCGCUCCCUAGGACUUCCCCGCCGGACAC
Long non-coding RNA from Phyllostomus hastatus (greater spear-nosed bat), 2174 nucleotides. RefSeq lists it as uncharacterized. NCBI's taxonomy places the organism in Eukaryota, Metazoa, Chordata, Mammalia, Chiroptera, Phyllostomidae. The record is from RefSeq and is a predicted model, not a curated record. The transcript has 4 exons.